UUUAUACGUCGAAUUUUGGUCGCGUCGAAUGCAAUUAAGACAAUAGAUAAUAAGCUUCAUUAUGUUUGAAUUGCAUUCGACGCGACCAAAAUUCGACGUAUAAA
Molecule: non-coding RNA, 104 nt
Organism: Paramuricea clavata
Lineage: Eukaryota; Metazoa; Cnidaria; Anthozoa; Malacalcyonacea; Plexauridae
Source: the annotation of a GenBank genome assembly